Molecule: long non-coding RNA, 868 nt
Organism: Dioscorea cayenensis subsp. rotundata (Guinea yam)
Lineage: Eukaryota; Viridiplantae; Streptophyta; Magnoliopsida; Dioscoreales; Dioscoreaceae
Exons: 3
Source: RefSeq, a predicted model, not a curated record
UUUUUGGCCACAUUUUCUCACUCUUCUUUCUCCACCUUCUUCACCCGAUUAUCUCUCUUCUUUCUCCACUCAUUCAAUGGCAAAAAACUCUCAUAUCUUCUCCUAGAUCACCUCCUAAACUCUUUGAGACUUCGAUCUAAUUGUUUACCAAAGUUUUAACUCGAGUUUUCUCAAGGUUUUGUCGGAAUGAUGAGGAUGAAGAAAUUGGCAACAACCAUGGAAAUAUGUUUACACCACAUGAGUGACCACAUUUUUGGGCAUGAAGACCAUAGAACAAAAUAUCACUUUGUGAUGAGAAACCUAACUCUAAGGACAAGGACUAGCAUGGACACUUUGUUUUGUUGUUUAGACUUUACUUUCUAAUUUUUGUGUUAGUUUUUGCAUGAUUACUCCCCAUUUCCUCUUUAUAAAUUUUUUGUGGAAUGAUGAUGCCCUUUUAUGCCAUGCAGGGCAUUAAGGGAGCUUGGUGAGCCUCUCCUCAUUCCAUGGAAGCCCGCGACAUGAAAAGCUUACAACAUCUUUUGUUCGGGUCACCUCUCGCCAUGUGCACAAGAUUUAACCGAGGAAGGAACGGGAAAGCCAUGGAGAACACGAAGAUAUAAUUUGGGCGAAAAACAGAAGAAAACCAGGGCACGAGAAUGCCAUGGAUUACUGUAGUAGUGGCACUUUAGCAUCAAUACUGUAGCAAGAUCACUGUAGCUAAUACUGUAGCACAUGGAGAGUUUCAACUCAGGAAUUGAAUCAUGGCAUACGACCUCAAUGCUGCAUGGUAUGGAGCCCAUGAUGAUCACUCUAGCUGUAAAAGAAGAUGUUUGUUUGAAGGCAUACUGGCUCAAUGAGGUGCUCAUUGAGCCAGUAUGGAUACUAU